UUAGAAAUGUUUGCUACCGUUUUUGAUA
Molecule: small RNA, 28 nt
Filed under: Bombyx mori (domestic silkworm)
Lineage: Eukaryota; Metazoa; Arthropoda; Insecta; Lepidoptera; Bombycidae
Description: ovarian small RNA-36680
Source: RNAcentral